This 391-nucleotide transfer-messenger RNA is filed under the name Nostocaceae cyanobacterium. It matches the Rfam family "transfer-messenger RNA". Rfam says of the family: Bacterial tmRNA, also known as 10Sa RNA or SsrA, is named for its dual tRNA and mRNA-like properties. Its role is to liberate the mRNA from a stalled ribosome. Lineage: Bacteria; Bacillati; Cyanobacteriota; Cyanophyceae; Nostocales; Nostocaceae. The record is from RNAcentral.
GGGUCUGUAAUGGUCUCGACGGGAUGGCGAAAGCUGCUCUGUGAUGCAGGUCGAGAGUGAGUCUCCUCUCGGAAAUCAAAGGCUCAAAAAAAAAGUAAAUGCGAACAACAUUGUACCUUUUGCUCGUAAGCAAGCUCUAGUAGCUGCCUAAAAACCUCUUUCAGGUUCGAGCGUCAGUAGUUUGACUCCGUUAAGGACUACCGACCAACCCCCCAACGGAUGCGUUAGUAAGUGUUCUCGGUUGGCUUGCUAGUUAAGAUUUAAUCAGAGCAUCCCGCUGUUCGGGAUAAUGAACAGUCCCCGCCCUAAGGGUUAAAAGGGCUAAACCUGUGAACGAUCGGAAAGUCAAUACCCAUUUCGGACGGCAGUUCGAUUCUGCCCAGAUCCACUU